AGGUCAAUAAGGAGGUUGAUGAUUUGAGAAAGGAAACUCCAAAGUCCUUUUGGAGGACAGAUCUUGAUGCUUUGGAGGGGCAACUCGAUGAGCUAGAGAGAAGUGAUGUGAGUCAGAGGAGUUAAGAAAGAAAAUGAGAGGCAAAGCAAGGGGUGAAGCUGCUAUGAAGUCUGCUAGACAAGCACCCAAGAACCCACGGAAGAACAAUAAUAAGAAGGCAAAUAAUGCAGAAUCUGUUGCAGAAGCUGUCUCGUCAUCUGUGGCUGCAAUGGAAAUUGAGAAAGCUCCUGCUAAGGUCUGUUUCUGUUCGUAUGUUCUAUUUUUCCUUCGAAAGGAUGAGGUUAAAGAACGAUAGAAGUUGCUGCCUAUAACCUCGAUGCAUCUCCUGAUCAAUCAGCCGCCAUGGAGACUGAAGUGCCCAAAGUACCAGCCAAGAAGAAAGAACCUAGCAAAAGGGCUGCUGCUGCACAGAAGAAGAAGCCCUUGGCAACUGUUUCGGAGAUAUCUGAUGAUGAUGAUGAUGAUGAUUAUAAUGAUAUUAAUGAAAUUGAUGAUGAUGAUGAAGAUAGUGAGAUAGAAGUUGUAGCUACUCCAGAAGCGAGGAAAAAGGGCGGGGGAAAACUGGCUGCAAAUGCUAAGGCAGUUAAGGCCCCUGCAGCGGCAAAGAAGAGAGGUGCAGCGAAUAAGCAGCAGCCUCAGACAUUGGCCUAGAAGCUUUUAACUGACAUGUUAAAGCCUGCUGAAAAUUCCAGGAUUUCACUGGAGAAAAAAGUGAGAAAGAUGAGGGCAUCUCCAUUCAACAAGAAAAGUGGUUCUGUGUUGGGAAGGGUUGGUAAGGUAAAUGAAGUGACUGAAAAUGAAGAAAAUUCGGGUUCUGCUUCUACUUCUGCCAGUACUGAAGAAACUAUUGAAGUUGCACCAGCAAGAGCAAGACCUCAAAGGGUGAACCAAGUUAGAAAACAAGAAAGAGUAUGACAGAAUAUGAUCCGCGUCUUGUGGCUCCAACCUGCUUGUACCUGGCAUCAAAAGCAGAAGAAAGCACAGUGCAGGCCAGGCUUCUUUUAUUUUACCUUAAAAAAUUAUAUGCUGAUGAAAAGUAUGACUCAAUUAACUUGGUGCUAUGGGCCAGGUAGUUGCCCAUCAAAGAGGGUCGCAUGGGCUAGAGAAUUGAUAGACGAAGAAGCAGAACAGUUCCUCAUGCCUCGUUUCAUUGACCCAGAUUCAGAAAGACCUUGGCUUGCCCAAAGAAUGGCCUUGAGGAUACCAUAUUCUGCGUAAAGUUAAUGGAAGGAGACCUGCUUAUGCUUCCCAGCAACUAAUAUAAGAUCUGCAUAAUACGUUUUAUUUUUAAGUCUUUGAUUGGUCAAGUUAUGAGAGAAUAGCAUGGUGCCUUUUGAUGUAUGAACUUCCUCUAUAGAUUGUUUGGCUUAUAUUUUGUGAACUUGUCCGAUCAGCUUGUGUUAAGAUUCUUUCAAAUAGUGUUUCAAAAGGGACAGUAUCAUUUUCAGCAAUUCGUGACU
Molecule: long non-coding RNA, 1520 nt
Organism: Quercus lobata
Lineage: Eukaryota; Viridiplantae; Streptophyta; Magnoliopsida; Fagales; Fagaceae
Exons: 7
Source: RefSeq, a predicted model, not a curated record